This 253-nucleotide ribosomal RNA is filed under the name uncultured bacterium. Its description in RNAcentral is "partial 16S ribosomal RNA". It matches the Rfam family "Bacterial small subunit ribosomal RNA", at positions 524 to 776 of the family's 1533-position model. The record is from RNAcentral.
UACGAAGGGGGCGAGCGUUAUUCGGAAUCACUGGGCGUAAAGCGUGCGUAGGCGGUUUUGUAAGUUAGAAGUGAAAGCCCAGGGCUCAACCCUGGAAUUGCUUUUAAAACUACAAAACUAGAAUCUCGGAGAGGAUAGCGGAAUUUCCAGUGUAGCAGUGAAAUGCGUAGAUAUUGGAAGGAACACCAGUGGCGUAAGCGGCUAUCUGGACGAGUAUUGACGCUGAGGCACGAAAGCGUGGGGAUCAAACAGG